RNAcentral lists this ribosomal RNA (253 nucleotides) under uncultured bacterium. RNAcentral describes it as "partial 16S ribosomal RNA". It matches the Rfam family "Bacterial small subunit ribosomal RNA", at positions 524 to 776 of the family's 1533-position model. The record is from RNAcentral.
UACGUAGGGACCGAGCGUUGUCCGGAAUCAUUGGGCGUAAAGAGCGUGUAGGCGGCCUUUUAAGUCCUGCGUGAAAUCCUGCGGCUCAACCGCAGACGGUCGUGGGAAACUGGAAGGCUAGAGUGCGGGAGAGGAGGGUGGAAUUCCCGGUGUAGCGGUGAAAUGCGCAGAUAUCGGGAAGAACACCCGUGGCGAAGGCGGCUCUCUGGAGCGCAACUGACGCUGAGACGCGAAAGCGUGGGGAGCAAACAGG